GGGGAUAUAGCUCAGUGGUAGAGCAUGUGCUUAGCAUGCACGAGGUCCUGGGUUCAAUCCCCAGUACCUCCU
This 72-nucleotide transfer RNA is filed under the name Camelus dromedarius (Arabian camel). It matches the Rfam family "tRNA". From Rfam's summary of the family: Transfer RNA (tRNA) molecules are approximately 80 nucleotides in length. Their secondary structure includes four short double-helical elements and three loops (D, anti-codon, and T loops). The record is from Rfam by way of RNAcentral. RNAcentral also lists the same sequence under 1 other name. Lineage: Eukaryota; Metazoa; Chordata; Mammalia; Artiodactyla; Camelidae.